Molecule: long non-coding RNA, 6535 nt
Filed under: Homo sapiens (human)
Lineage: Eukaryota; Metazoa; Chordata; Mammalia; Primates; Hominidae
Description: HSALNT0400791
Source: RNAcentral
AUACUGCCGGAACUGUGGCUAAUGGUGCGGACCACCCUGCUCACUGUUAGCAAAGUGGGUAGCUACCCUCUCUUCUGGAAGCCCCUCUGCAGCACUCCUCUUGGGAGUAGAAAAGGAAGUGGUCAAGCUCAGCCCCAGCCUCCUCAGCUUUCUGCAGCUGAGCCUCCAGACCUACAUUUGGGAGCUGAUCCGUCUUGCUCUCAGUUAGGGCCCAGCCCUUCUGUGGGGACCAGGAAAAUCUUUGCUCACCUGGAGAAGCUGCUGGUUCAGCCCAACUUUAUCUAACGCCAAAGCCUCAUUUAAGGCACUGAGCUUGACAGCUGCAGCCCGAAGAUCAGCUACUUCUGUCUUCAGGGUGUUUUCAGAACUCGACAGCUCUGCAAUUGACUGCUCUGCCUAAAAAACAAAAAGGAUUAAAGAGUUUCAUAUUUCCAAUUUUCCUGGAACAGUAAACAGUUCACAUUCCCAACACUGCUGCUUUUUGGUACAGAGAUCAGUUAAUACUCCAUUCCCUCUCCUGCAUUCUAAACAAGUUUUCCCUUCAUUCAUUCAUUAAGGAGUGAGACAGGACCUCACAGUAUAGAGAUACCAAAGUUAGGAUAGAGAAAUGACUAUGAUUGUAAUGAUGCCACAGAAAAUGUAAGCACAAAGUGCUCUGGGAACUAAAAAAAAUAUUAAUAUAGUUUGGAAGAGUCAAAUAUGCUUGGUAGAGGAGUUGACGAUUAAGUUGUGUACUGAGAGAUGAGGAACAGUUUGCACAUAAAGGAAGAGGAAAGAAGUAGUGCAGAGAAAGGGAAAAGUACACGCAGAGUAUUAGAGUCAUGAAGAACAUGGAAUAACUGAGAAGGCAAUUACUGCUGUGGCAGGAGCAAAGGAUAUGAGGUGUUAGGAUGGGUUUUGCAGUAGAAGGGGAGGCUAAAACACACUUUGAGGCACAUGACAAAAAGCUUUGAAUGUGGCACCACAGAGCUAGAAAGCCGUUGAAUGGUUUUAAGAGACUGACAUAACCAGGUAUAUACUUUAGAAAGCCCAUUCUAAUUCCAAUAUAGAGGGUAUGUUGGAAUAGAGAACCCAGAAGCAGACUAAUGAUUGAGGAAAGAUGAGGGAUCCUGGCUUGAAGGUGAAGAAUGAGGCAGGCUGCAUGGGAACACACUUUCGAAGCCGCCCACCCAGCAAGUGAGGAGAGGAGGCCACGCACCCUAGCCAGCGCUGCGGUCACUUCCGUUUGCUCUUGCCUCAGUAACUCCCCUUCCAGGUGACUUGACUCCAGGGCUUCCCGAAGAGUGAUCAGUUCACUGAGUGAUUCUGACUGUUUGGCUUCCAGGCCCAUCAGCAUCUCCUGACUAAGAUGGGAAAGAGAGGGGUCUAGAGGAACUCUUAGGGAUGGGCCAUAACCCCAAAGGUAACAGGAAUAUAAUCACCUUUGCUAUGCAACAGAAUGAGGAUGGUCUAUAAACACUGAUAAGGAAAGAUUUCUAAGACAUGUCAAGUGAAAAAAAUCAAGGUGCAGAACAGUAUAUACAUGAUACACUACCUUUUAUGCAAGAAAGUGGGGGAAGAAAGAAUAUAUGCCCGUAUUUGCAUGAAGGAGCACUGGCAAGAUAAACAAGAAGUCAGCUAAAAUGGUUGCCUAAAGGGGGAAGGGAAAUGGGAUGGAGAAAGCACAAAUGAGAGUGAGACUUCUCUGUGUAUCUUCUUAGCUCACUGAAGCCUCAAACUCCUGGGGGCUCAUGUGAUCCUCCCAUCUCACCUUGCCAUGGCUACAGGCACAUGCCACCACAUUCAGCUACAGCUAAUUUUUUGUUGUUAGGGGUUGUCUGCCCUUCUCCUUGGUACAGGGAGAUCAUUCUUAGCACAAGUCAUGACCCUUAUGGCAGCCCUUCAAGCUUCCACUAUUCAUGCCUACCAGGUACAAGGAACUGGGGCACAGGAGAGGAGGGAAAUACAGCAAAGAUGAAGAUAUAUCCCUGCUCCCAGUUAUUAAAGACCUACCAUAUGCCAGGUUCUAUGCUGGCGUUUUCCAAAACAUUGCUCUCAUCUUCCCAGCAACCCUUCAAGGUAAAUAUUAUCAUCAUUCUACAAAUAAUCUGUCCAUGUGACAGAGCCAUAAUUUAAACUAAGCUUCUGCCUAGCUCAAAGUCCUUGCUUUUUCUGUGACAUCAUAUAGGGGAAUUUACAGAUUAGCUGGGGCCAUUGAUUCUGGAUUUCCCUUUCUUGACCAGCUAGCACAUUUCCCACUACUUCCCUGUAUAAGUCUUACCCUUUAGCCAGCCCAGCCUACUCUGAACAUGCCAUGAACCUUCCUGCCGCCUUUUCUUUGCUAAUCUGUUCCUUGAGCUCUUCUCCCACUCUCUGCUAACCAAAUAGGUAAAGGCCCAGCUCAAAGUCUACUCUCUCCUCCAUAAAGCAUUUCCUAGUCUUCAAUAAUUAGCUGUCACUCCUGUGCUCCCAAAGGACUUGGUCUGAAACUCUAUUUAACUCAUACUUCAUCCAGCCUCAUGUCACAGUGAGUUGUCUGUCUUCUGGCAAGUUCCCUGAAAUCAGGGCUUUUGUCUUAUUCAUUUCUGUAUCCCCCUCAGUGUCUCAUCCCAUAUGGGUGCUCAACUAAGACUUAACCAACCACGAACUUUCCAUAUUCAUCUUUCUGCAAAGGAAGAAGCAGCAAGCUAAUCUGAACCCACUGCAUGCCAGACUUCUACAUACUCUACUUUGUAACAGAGGGGAGUAGACGGGGAGGGUGUAGAAUUGAAGAAAGACCAGGGCCCAGCGAGGAGGAGACUAGUCUCACUUACAGACGCUCCCUCUCCCGGACAGCCAGGUGCAGCUCCUCCUGCUGUUCCUCCUUCUGGCCCUGGGCAGAGUCCCCCUGCAGCUGAAGCUCCACAUUUACCCUUCGCAGGCGCCAUGCCUCCUGCUCUAGCACCUCCAGCUGCUGCCGCAGCUCUUCCCUGGCCUUCUGCAGCAGCUCUCGCUCCCUGGAAGAAGGGAAUCAGAGAUGAGCAGAGACCAUAGGACCUAAAAUUCUUUCUGGAAGCAGGCAUCACAGGGCCAAGAGACCCUGUUUCAACAUCCCAUCUUCUGUUUCUAGUGCGAAACUUUUUUAUCAUCACAAAGACUCCAACCCCAAAAGCUUGUUCUGGAGAAACAAGUGAAACACUGGGCAAAACAGCCCUGAGUCUCAAGGAGAACAGGAUCAGCACCCCAAAAACCUGAUGGGAGUGGGUAAAUGGCUGGAUGGUGACUGAGACUGAGACCAGGCUGGGAGGGUGGGAUGAACAGCCCGUCUGCUCACUUGCUGAGAGAGUCCACCUCUCCCUGGAGGUCCACAGUCUGCCCUGCCAGAGUGUCCCGCUCCCCAGUGAGCUUCUGCAGCCGCUGUCUCAAGGCUUUGCCCUCUUCCUCCCACUGAUCAUGCUGCUGUUGCAACAAGUUCACAGCCUCUUGACAGCCUGCAAGCUGCUGCCUUAGGUCCUGUGGAGAGAGAGCAAGAGAAACCAGAUGAUGAACAAGGGCAAAGGAGGGAUGUCAGAACCCCGAAAGUGGGGCUGGAGAAGGGGGUCGGGGGCUGGUGCAACAAAAGAAAGCUGAGAAGGGAGAUGCAACUAUUCAAGAAGACAGGCCAUCAGAGGUCAUUGGGCUUCUGUGGCUCUAGAUUCUUAGAGUUCGUCAUCUCCAAAUGUACAGUGGCAUGGGGGAGUGGUAAGUGUGCCUAAGACUCUCAGAGUUGGAGAACGUUGACCCAAUAAUCUCCCAGGGCUCUGGUUCCCAAUCUUUGCAUACUGUUAUGCAAAGAUUGUACACAAAGUGAAGCAUGCCAUUGGCGUGGAGGAUGUGCCUGCUACUCACAAGCACAAUUCAGCAGACAUAGGCAGAUUUACUCUGGGAUAUUGACAGAACACCUCAUGACUGGUCAAAAAAGUGAAAGGGAUAGUCCAGGCUAGGGAGGUACCUGAGGCACAAACCAGUUUAGACACAAACCCCUGUGACUGAGGUGGAAUGCUGAGGGUUCCUACCUGCACAGCCUGGCGUCUCCGAGUCAGCACUGAACGCACCAGAGUAAGAGCCUUGUCUGCAUCCUGGUAAUCAAACUGGGAGAAGAUACUAGAGUCCAAUUCCAAAGAGUUCUCAUGACCAGAGCCUUGGGCUAUAUUGUCCCCUUCUUCCACCAUGACCUGAAACCCAAUACAGCAAGGUCACCACCCUACUGACCAAAGCCUAGAGUCUAUAGAGGGACUUAACCCUAUAGCCUGGACAAACCUGAUGUUUUCCUUCUCAGGUCCUCUCCCCUGGGGGAAGGAGGGGAGUAUCUGAGCAUAAAAGUCUGGUUCCUUCAACUCUCCACCUUUGGUCACCCAAGUCUAGGACUAACAACAAGGCUAGAACACUGUCUGAGGUAACAAUAAAUGAGGAAAUGAAAGAAGAAACGAUUGAGAUAUUGAAUACCAGAAUCUAGCCUCCAGCCUGAGAACUGCAGCUAGAAACAGGAAAGAGGGCCUGUCCCAUCAGGUAGUGCUAAACGUGAAUGCUUAGCUAUCUCUUAGGGUUCUGGUCUUCAAACACACAAAACUCAUCCCCACAAGACUUUAAGCACCCGAACCUCAGAGACUGGAAAUCUAGGCAGGACUGAAAGGACAUGGAGACCUGGGGAGUGGAGGCAUAACCUGGUUACCAUGAACAGGAGGCUUCCCAGUACCUGGGUUAUAUCCUUGAUCACCUGCUGUAAAGACAACUUCUCCUCUUGCGCAUUCCUACUAAGAGAUGCUUCAUGUUCCAUUAAUUCUGUGUGAUUUGUCUCCUGAACAGGGAAUAGAACAGAGCCUCAGAGCCAAACUCUCAAAAGUGAAUUUAUUAUUCCAGGACCCCAAACAACCAAAGUCUCAUUCUGUCUAUUCUAUCAGCCCCACUUUUUCCCUGACCAUAUGUCAAUGCUAAUGUUGUCUGAAGAGUCUGAAGACAAUGUGAUGUGGUGAUUACAAGUUUAGAUUAAGUGAUUACGAGUUCCAAAUUGGACUUCACAGAUUAGAAUUCCUGCUCUAUCACUUACUAGCUUCUAUCACUUACUUCUUUUUCUUUAAAAUAGAAAUAAUUACAGCAACUAGUUGUUUUGAGGCUUAAAUGAAAAAUGCAUGUAAAUUAUUCAAUAUAGUGUCUGGAACAAAGCAAAUGUUCAAUAAAUGUAAACUAUUAUUAGAUAGGGGAUGGGUGCUGUCUCUGAACAGUAAAUGGAUGCUUGAGACCUAAUACUAAACCAGAGAAUCCUCUAGCCCCAAAGCUAGACAUAAUCUUGAAGACUCAAGAGUUCCUCUCUUCCUUCCUAUUUGUGUUAGUGAAGACCUAAAGACACAGACUUGCAACUAUGUUUUAUUUGGCUUAUACAAAAUUUGAAUCAACAUUUAUAAAUGGAAAGAUUUUACAUAAAAAUAUAAAUUUCUGGCUUCUCCCAAAAAGUUAACAAAUGGGCCACACCCAGCCCCCAUUCCUACAUGGAAACGAUUUACUGAAGUUGAAUGGUAGAUGCCUCAUCUAGAUGAGACAUUUAUUAUUGAGGGUCCCACAAUCCCUAUUGCUCCUCAUGGCUUCCUUAAUACUGAGCUCAAGUGUCCCCUGCAGUACUGAAAACUAAAUACAACAAACAGCACUGGAAAACCAGAAUUCUUACAACUGAACCCAUUUCAUUUAUUUACAUUAUCUGAGCCCCAUGGAUAUUCUGAAUUGGCAAGUUCCUGAAAAAAAAAGAGGGAAUCAGAAAGCUACAAUUCCUGUUGAUCUCAGCUUGGAUGAGAAGACUAGGGGUGUACAUAUGAAUAGGGGUUCAGGAGCUACCUAAAAUCAGAGAUCUGAAAACUUAUAGAGAUGAAACAUGGUAUUAAGCCAGAGGGUUCUAACAUCCAACCUUAGAGAAGCCCUCUGAUAACAUCCCUGGCAGAUGUUAAGCCAAUGACCAAAACCUUACUCCUUCACAAGACAGGCUGUUCAACUACUUAACAGCUCUAGCUGUGAGCCAGAAUCUAUUCCCCUAUUAACUUCUAGCUAUUGACAUUGGUUUUGCCCUGGAAAACAUUAAAUAUGUAAACUCUCUUUUCUCUUUUUUGAGACGGAGUUUCACUCUUGUUGCCCAGGCUGUAGUGCAAUGGCAUAACCUCGGCUCACCACAACCUCCACCUCCCAGGUUCAAGUGAUUCUCCUGCCUCAGCCUCCCGAGCAGCUGGGUUUAUAGGCAUGUGCCACCACGACCGGCUAAUUUUUUUUAUUUUUUUAGUAGAGACGGGGUUUCUGCAUGUUGGUCAGGCCGGUCUCAAACUCCCGACCUCAGGUGAUCUGCCUGCCUCAGCUUCCCAUAGUGCUGGGAUUACAGGCGUGAGCCACCGCGCCCGGCCCUUCAUAAACUCUCUUUUCCCAGCGUCAGUCCUUCAGAUAUGUGAAGGCAGCUAUCAUGUCUUCAAGGGCCUUCACAGGGCCUCAAGCUCUUUCUUCUCCCGGCUAAACAUUGCCAUACUCCUCAGUUGUUUCCCAUGUGACUAGAUUUUAAAUCUCU